CGAGUGGCGAACGGGUGAGUAAUGCAUCGGAACGUACCCGGGAGUGGGGGAUAACUAUCCGAAAGGAUAGCUAAUACCGCAUAUUCUGUGCGCAGGAAAGCAGGGGAUCUUCGGACCUUGUGCUCCCGGAGCGGCCGAUGUCAGAUUAGCUAGUUGGUGGGGUAAAGGCCUACCAAGGCGACGAUCUGUAGCGGGUCUGAGAGGAUGAUCCGCCACACUGGAACUGAGACACGGUCCAGACUCCUACGGGAGGCAGCAGUGGGGAAUUUUGGACAAUGGGCGCAAGCCUGAUCCAGCCAUGCCGCGUGAGUGAAGAAGGCCUUCGGGUUGUAAAGCUCUUUCGGCCGGGAAGAAAUCGUAUAGGUUAAUACCCUGUGCGGAUGACGGUACCGGCAUAAGAAGCACCGGCUAACUACGUGCCAGCAGCCGCGGUAAUACGUAGGGUGCGAGCGUUAAUCGGAAUUACUGGGCGUAAAGCGUGCGCAGGCGGUUUUGUAAGA
Molecule: ribosomal RNA, 500 nt
Filed under: uncultured bacterium
Lineage: Bacteria
Description: bacterial SSU rRNA
Rfam family: Bacterial small subunit ribosomal RNA
Source: RNAcentral